RNAcentral lists this non-coding RNA (26 nucleotides) under Rattus norvegicus (Norway rat). The record is from RNAcentral. Lineage: Eukaryota; Metazoa; Chordata; Mammalia; Rodentia; Muridae.
UUGAAAGUGAAGGUGGUUAUGCGGUC